Molecule: ribosomal RNA, 465 nt
Filed under: Vreelandella stevensii
Lineage: Bacteria; Pseudomonadati; Pseudomonadota; Gammaproteobacteria; Oceanospirillales; Halomonadaceae
Description: partial 16S ribosomal RNA
Rfam family: Bacterial small subunit ribosomal RNA
Source: RNAcentral
CCUACGGGGGGCAGCAGUGGGGAAUAUUGGACAAUGGGGGCAACCCUGAUCCAGCCAUGCCGCGUGUGUGAAGAAGGCCCUCGGGUUGUAAAGCACUUUCAGUGAGGAAGAACGCCUGGUGGUUAAUACCCAUCAGGAAAGACAUCACUCACAGAAGAAGCACCGGCUAACUCCGUGCCAGCAGCCGCGGUAAUACGGAGGGUGCGAGCGUUAAUCGGAAUUACUGGGCGUAAAGCGCGCGUAGGUGGCUUGAUAAGCCGGUUGUGAAAGCCCCGGGCUCAACCGGGGAACGGCAUCCGGAACUGUCAAGCUAGAGUGCAGGAGAGGAAGGUAGAAUUCCCGGUGUAGCGGUGAAAUGCGUAGAGAUCGGGAGGAAUACCAGUGGCGAAGGCGGCCUUCUGGACUGACACUGACACUGAGGUGCGAAAGCGUGGGUAGCAAACAGGAUUAGAUACACCGGUAGUC